RNAcentral lists this ribosomal RNA (202 nucleotides) under uncultured bacterium. RNAcentral describes it as "partial 16S ribosomal RNA". It matches the Rfam family "Bacterial small subunit ribosomal RNA", at positions 328 to 539 of the family's 1533-position model. The record is from RNAcentral.
ACGCUCGACACCUACGGGGNGGAGCAGUGGGGAAUAUUGCACAAUGGGGGAAACCCGUGAUGCAGCGACGCCGCGUGAAGGAAGAAGUAUUUCGGUAUGUAAACUUCUAUCAGCAGGGAAGAAGAAAGUGACGGUACCUGACUAAGAAGCCCCGGCUAACUACGUGCUAGCAGCCGCGGUAAUCUGAGCGGGCUGGCAAGGC